AUUUUAUGCCAUACUUCUAUGUACUCGGCAUACUUGUAAUAUUUGUACGAAAAAUCAGGAUUAUGUAAUUUUUUUCCUUGAGCAAGAUUGCAACCCCACUCAUCAUAAGAAAGCAAUUCUUGAUCUGUAUUUUUGAAUAUGCAAUUACUCUGGUAUUUUGCUGGUAGUAAUGGACAACAUAGAUGGACCCUGUUUCCAGAAGAAUGACUUCAUAAUACUCACGAGUUUUGAUUCCAUUGGUUGGAUUCAAAUGAUUUAUAAGAUAUAAUGAAGUAAGUUUGAUAGGGUCCAUACUAGUAUGGUGGUCAUCUAUUGUAAUAUCCAUAAGAUAUGCUCGUUGAAUAUAUGUAGAGCGCGGAACAUUAAGCCUUUGGUUUGGUAUUGAUUGAGCUGGAGUAUAGGCGGGAGUAGAUGUAUUCGUGUCUGGAUAAGUGAUUUGGUGAACAG
Molecule: long non-coding RNA, 447 nt
Filed under: Amborella trichopoda
Lineage: Eukaryota; Viridiplantae; Streptophyta; Magnoliopsida; Amborellales; Amborellaceae
Description: long non-coding RNA (ATRI_LNC000840)
Source: RNAcentral